RNAcentral lists this ribosomal RNA (558 nucleotides) under uncultured eukaryote. Its description in RNAcentral is "SSU rRNA". It matches the Rfam family "Eukaryotic small subunit ribosomal RNA", at positions 4 to 567 of the family's 1831-position model. The record is from RNAcentral.
CUGGUUGAUCCUGCCAGUAGUCYCAAYUUGUCUCAAAGAUUAAGCCAUGCAUGUCUAAGUAUAAGCAAUUUAUACAGUGAAACUGCGAAUGGUCYCAUUAAAUCAGUUAUCGUUUAUUUGAUAGUACCUUACUACUUGGAUAACCGUGGUAAUUCUAGAGCUAAUACAUGCUUAAAGUCCCGACUGUUUGGAAGGGAUGUAUUUAUUAGAUAAAAAAUCAAUGUCUUCGGACUCUUUGAUGAUUCAUAAUAACUUUUCGAAUCGCAUGGCCUUGUGCUGGCGAUGGUUCAUUCAAAUUUCUGCCCUAUCAACUUUCGAUGGUAGGAUAGUGGCCUACCAUGGUUUCAACGGGUAACGGGGAAUAAGGGUUCGAUUCCGGAGAGGGAGCCUGAGAAACGGCUACCACAUCCAAGGAAGGCAGCAGGCGCGCAAAUUACCCAAUCCCGACACGGGGAGGUAGUGACAAUAAAUAACGAUACAGGGCCCUUUCGGGUCUUGUAAUUGGAAUGAGUACAAUGUAAAUACCUUAACGAGGAACAAUUGGAGGGCAAGUCUGGU